Non-coding RNA from Cerioporus squamosus, 107 nucleotides. The record is from the annotation of a GenBank genome assembly. Lineage: Eukaryota; Fungi; Basidiomycota; Agaricomycetes; Polyporales; Polyporaceae.
GACACUAUAGCCAAGUGGUUAAGGCGACAGAUUAGAACGUGUAUACACACGGUUUGCACUUUAUCUGUUUCUCUCUGAGAGCGUAGGUUCGAACCCUACUGGUGUCG